This 441-nucleotide ribosomal RNA is filed under the name uncultured Pseudomonas sp. RNAcentral describes it as "bacterial SSU rRNA". It matches the Rfam family "Bacterial small subunit ribosomal RNA", at positions 8 to 451 of the family's 1533-position model. The record is from RNAcentral. Lineage: Bacteria; Pseudomonadati; Pseudomonadota; Gammaproteobacteria; Pseudomonadales; Pseudomonadaceae.
AGAGUUUGAUCCUGGCUCAGAUUGAACGCUGGCGGCAGGCCUAACACAUGCAAGUCGAGCGGAUGAAGAGAGCUUGCUCUCUGAUUCAGCGGCGGACGGGUGAGUAAUGCCUAGGAAUCUGCCUAUUAGUGGGGGACAACGCUUCGAAAGGAACGCUAAUACCGCAUACGUCCUACGGGAGAAAGCAGGGGACCUUCGGGCCUUGCGCUAAUAGAUGAGCCUAGGUCGGAUUAGCUAGUUGGUGAGGUAAAGGCUCACCAAGGCGACGAUCCGUAACUGGUCUGAGAGGAUGAUCAGUCACACUGGAACUGAGACACGGUCCAGACUCCUACGGGAGGCAGCAGUGGGGAAUAUUGGACAAUGGGCGAAAGCCUGAUCCAGCCAUGCCGCGUGUGUGAAGAAGGUCUUCGGAUUGUAAAGCACUUUAAGUUGGGAGGAAGG